GACAGAGGAGGCGAGCGUUAUCCGGAGUUAUUGGGCGUAAAGGGUACGUAGGCGGCUGGUCAAGUCUGGGGUUAAAGACCACAGCUUAACUGUGGGAAGGCCUUGGAAACUGACUGGCUAGAGUGGGGCAGGGGUUGCGGGAAUUCCCGGUGUAGCGGUGAAAUGCGUAGAUAUCGGGAAGAACACCUGAGGCGAAAGCGCGCAACUGGGCCCUAACUGACGCUGAGGUACGAAAGCUAGGGGAGCGAAUGGG
Molecule: ribosomal RNA, 253 nt
Filed under: uncultured bacterium
Lineage: Bacteria
Description: partial 16S ribosomal RNA
Rfam family: Bacterial small subunit ribosomal RNA
Source: RNAcentral